This 249-nucleotide non-coding RNA is filed under the name Eucalyptus camaldulensis (Murray red gum). Lineage: Eukaryota; Viridiplantae; Streptophyta; Magnoliopsida; Myrtales; Myrtaceae. The record is from RNAcentral.
ACGGGGGUGUGGGGAAGUGAUGUCGCGCGUGCUCGUAGUAAACCCUAAACCACCCUCUUUCAUGGGUCAAAUAGUGUGAGGGGUCUUUGUCCGGUGUUUCCCCCUUGUGGACUCCCGCGAAAAAGAAACGACCGAUGCCUUCGCACGUGCGGCUUGCCCCGAGGGAGGUUCGCAGGUGGUGCUGCCGGCGACCUUUGCCCGGCGCUUGUGGCACUUGUUGUCCUCGCCUCCCGGCCACCCCCAUUUUCG